Lagopus muta (rock ptarmigan) is the source of this 12486-nucleotide RNA transcript. It is a transcript of the gene named leucine rich repeats and calponin homology domain containing 1, with no coding region annotated. The transcript has 22 exons. The record is from RefSeq and is a predicted model, not a curated record. Lineage: Eukaryota; Metazoa; Chordata; Aves; Galliformes; Phasianidae.
CGUAGUGUGUGCGCCUCGCCCGCCCCGUUCGCCUCCGCCUUCUGCUCUCGCCGCCGCUCCCCCCCCCCUCCUCACUACCACGGGGAGCGAGCGGGAGGAGGAGGAGGAGGAGGAAACAGGGAGAGAGAGGCAGCUCCGGCGGCCCCUGGCGUUCCCCUCGGCGAGGGGAAAGAUGGCGACGCUGGGAAGCGAGCCGCAGCCCUUCCCCGCCGCUGCCCUGGCGGUGGCAGCGGGCGGGGUGGGCGGCGGCGGCUGUGGCGGCGGCGGUGCGUUGGGUCUGCAGCCUCUGAACCGCGGUCUGGAGCGGGCAUUGGAGGAAGCGGCUCACUCCGGGGGGCUCAACCUGAGCGGCAGGAAACUGAAGGAGUUCCCGCGCAGCGCCUCCGCCCUCACUCACGACCUCUCCGACACGGUGCGGGCAGAUCUAUCAAAGAACAGAUUAACAGAGAUUCCUACGGAGUUGUGCCAUUUUGUGUCACUGGAAACACUAAAUCUAUACCACAACUGUAUUAAAAUUAUUCCAGAUGCCAUAGUGAACUUACGAAUGCUAACUUACUUAAAUUUGAGUCGAAAUCAACUUUCUUCUUUGCCAGCUUGCCUGUGUGGUCUUCCUUUGAAAGUCUUAAUUGCAAGCAACAAUAAGCUAGGUUCCCUUCCAGAAGAGAUAGGUCAGCUAAAGCAGUUAAUGGAACUGGAUGUCAGCUGCAAUGAAAUCACAACUUUGCCACAACAGAUAGGCCUGCUGAAAUCUUUAAAAGAACUGAAUGUCAGAAGAAAUUACCUCGAAGUUUUACCCCAAGAACUAGUACAGCUUCCCUUGGUGAAGUUUGACUUUUCCUGCAAUAAGGUGCUUGUGAUUCCCAUUUGUUUUAGAAAGAUGGCACAGUUACAAGUACUGCUGCUUGAGAACAAUCCUUUGCAAUCUCCACCAGCACAAAUUUGUACAAAGGGGAAGGUGCAUAUAUUCAAAUAUCUGACAGUACAGGCCUGUCAGAUUAAAACAGCAGACUCACUGUAUCUUAAUGCCAUAGAACAGCCACAUUUGCCACAACCUGUGGAAGAAAGUUGUUUUCUGUUCACAUCUAGCAUUGAUGACCUCUACCCAAGUAAAAAGGACUCGGAUUCAGGUGUUGGUAGUGACAAUGGUGAUAAGCGUUUGUCAGCAACAGAGCCGUCUGAUGAAGAUACUAUCAGCUUUAAUGUUCCAAUGUCAGACAUCGUGGAAGAAGAUCAGGUUGUAAAGGAAGAUUCAGGUCACCAUGCUAACUCAAGAAAAGUGGAAUUCCAUCAGGGAUCUUCUCACUUGAUUGUCAACGAUAAAUCAAGAGAGACAGGAAUCCGGCUUGAUGAAUCAGAUGCUCUUACUACAGAAUUUAUGAGCUACAUUAAGAGCAGAGCAGCAGAGUGUGAUGAAUUACUGAGAAUUGAAGAGGACGCACAAUGGCAAACAGAAGAAAUAAUAAAUAUGUCAGAAGAACAAACUAUUGAUAUAGCAAUGAUAGAACAACUAAGAGAAGCAGUAGAUUUGUUACAAGAUCCCAACAGAUUAAGCAUGGAUAUUUCAGAAAGCAGUGAUGUGAAUCUGUAUCCCAUGGAACCAGCAACAGCUUUAGAAUUUCAGGAGUCUACAGUAAACAGUCAAAUGCAGAUGGAGAUGUCCUCCCUUGGCCAGAAAGAAAAUGCUGAAGAGGAACUAGAAUUUCAUAGGAGGAGGGAAUUAAUUAUGGAGAAAGCCAAGAAUGAAAUGAAAACAUGUGAACAGGGUGAAAAAUGGUCAUUGAAUCAGAAUGAUGUAAUUGUUUGGAAUACAAGUGGCCAACCCUCUCACAAUGAGAACAAAGAUAAAAGUCCAACGCUGUCUCCUACUACAAACAACACAAUCCCUUUUGGCCUGAAGCCACGAUCAGCAGACCCAUCCCUCAGUCUUCCUCCUGUCUCCUUCAACACACUUACACAGGCACAAACAUGGGACAGCUUUAGCUACAGUAUACCAUCUGAAGGAGACAGUGACAAUGUGUUCUUAAGACCACAAAGAAAUUUGGAAUCAAUAGACCCACAGUUUACAAUUCGGAGGAAAAUGGAGCAGAUGAGAGAAGAGAGAGAGCUUGUUGAACAGCUGCGUGAGAACAUUGAAACAAGACUAAAGAUAUGUUUGCCUGAGGACUUGGGGUCUGCUCUCAUGGAUGGUGUAGUUCUCUGCCAUUUAGUAAAUCACAUUCGACCUCGGUCAGUAGGAAGUAUUCAUGUACCUUCACCAGCAGUACCUAAACUUAGCAUGGCGAAAUGCAGGAGAAAUGUUGAAAAUUUCCUGGAUGCAUGUAGAAAGCUGGGGAUACCAGAGGCUGACCUCUGCUCUCCGUAUGACAUCCUGCAGUCGGAUAUUCGUCACAUUCGAAAGACUGUUGACACUCUGCUCGCCCUCGGGGAGAAACCCCCACAAUCAACUUCUACCUUUCGCUCCUGGGAUCUAUUAGGCUUUUGUCUUUUCCACAUACUUUUUGUAGUCUUGAUGUUUAUAACUUAUCACUGGAAUGUGCUAACAGCAUAACCUGUUCGCAUGUGCACACAAACUUUCUGCUUUGUCUCUGACAAAUUACAGAUUCCAUGGAAUAAUCUUCUUCCUCUGUCUCACAAAGCAGAAUUUAUCUGCUUUAAAACACUUGAAGAUGACUGUAAAUUAGUACUGGGCAUGAGGAACACCUCAUAUGCAAGGCACUUUACAGUAUUUUAGAAUGAAGAUCGCAAAAGACGGUGUGAUACAAUAUGAUGGAGAAUAAACUGUUAGAUUCCUUUAUCUGUCAUUCUUAUGUGUGACAUCAAGCAAGUUUUGUCACUUAUCUUGUCUCUGUUUCAUCACCUGCUGGUAAUGUUUGUUUGUCUGACAAGUGUAGUAAACACAAUGUACCUAGGAAAAUUGUUUGUCUAGGAAGAGUUUAGAUUUUCCUUCUAGGAGAUUUUAAAGAAUGAGGUUAGACACGCUGGUCAGGAAGCCUUUUGGUAUCUUUGAACUCUGCCUAUGGUUAGAGCACUGGACUGAAUGACUUCCAUUUCCCUUCCAGUUCUGUUUUCUGUUAAUUUAUUUGUAAAGCUUGAAUAAGACAAGUACUAAUUUUAUUUUGUAUCAACAUGAAAUACACAAAUGGAAAGUUAGUGUAGGCAUAGUGAGACUUGAAAAUUACAAAGCCUCAAGUGUAGACCCAUAUUUACUACUGCUAGAUGCUACUGAUGAAAUUCUGAGUUCAGUGUCAAGCUAGCUAACCAAAGCAUCUCACUUUUGUGGCUGUGAAAUAAAUAUAUUUGUUUCUCAUGGCUAUUAUAUUAAAAAAUUACCACCUCACUUUUAGGACGUAAUUAGCAUAAGAAAUGAUAUGCUACAGAUUAUUCUAGUAAUAUGAUUAUGAUUUAAGGCUACAUUACAAAUACUCUAAUUCCUUAGAUGUUUGUAAAAAUGUAUUAAAAAGCUUCUAAAUGCAGUUCUAUUCCAGUGUUCUUGGCUUUAAUACUAGAGUGUGUGUGUGCACGUGUGAAAGGUGAAGUAGUUAGGUUCUGUAGGUUGGAAAAAUUACUUUCAGACAGCAGAUAGACACUAAGCCCUUUAUAAAAUCAGUUCUAGCAGCUUCAGUGCAUACGUAUAACGAUUCCAUUAGUGGCUUCUGUGACUUGGCACAACUUCAGUUAAUUCCUGUAGGUUCUUAAUUCCUUUAGGAAUUUUGCUAGUUGUUUUGAGUGCAUAGCUGUGGACUUGUGCCCUCAUCCUGUGCAGAUCUGUCUUCUACCUGUGCACUUAGUUUCAGUGGUUCCAAUAGCAGACACUCACUAAGUUAAGAGUCUGAGAUUAAUGUUUAAAAUUCCUCUUUCAGAAGAUCUUGGUUUUGUCUUGUUCCAACAGUGUUGCUUUUCAUGAAACUGAGAAAGUGACAUAAAUCACUUCAGAGGCUAUUAAUGUAUGACUACUUAUAACCCAGUGUAUGUACUUGAGGCAAAGUCGAUGUCUUCUGUAGGGCUGGAUUUUUACCUGUGCCCUGUGUGGUAAACAGGUCUCCUGUUAAUGCUUUGCGUUGUGCGUUUCCUACGUAGAACCAAUCCAUACGUAUGAGUAUAUUUUAACAUUUUUUGGAAUGAGAAAGUGGCAAAAGUUUUUGCUGCUGUCCUGUGGUUCGUAUCUGUGUCGCUGUCUAGUAUUACGUGGUUAUUCACAGUGCUCAGGAGGUUGGUGAGAAAAAUAACAGAUCAGUCUUGUGGAGGUGUGUCAGCGUAGUCAACUGUUUGUGUGCUUGUGAUGCAUGACUCUCAAACUUAUCCAAAGUCUGAACUGUACGUAUGCUUACCAUGCAGACAGUUGUCUUUAACUUGGAGUACAUUUUCUCACUUUUCUCAGCCUUAACUAUGUACAGCAAUUAAAGUGUAUCAUUACAAGCAAUAUUUGGAGUUACAGAGUUGAAGCCAUCUUGAACCUGACUUGAAAAGAUGUCCAUUGCUCUGUGACAAGCACAGCCAUACAUGCUGUACAUGAAGGUUAUCUGUUUUCUGUGUUUUUUUUCUAGUCAUUAUUGAUAACGCUUCAAAAUACACAGAUCUUAAAGGGAAAGAGGCAGUAAAAUAUAUCCUCACAUUUCAUUAAGAGUGAAUAUAGUAUUAUUUCUCAAAAUAAUUUUAAAGUGUGGUGAAGGUAUGAAAAAUGCCAGUCUUUUCCUCCCUGAAGACAGUAAUUGUAUUAAACGGGGAGGUGGAAGCUACAGCAGGUAUCUAGUCUAGUGGACUCUUUGAUAAAGUCAGAGUCCUACUUCUGUGCUAUUCUUCCUGUGCUGUUAUAUUCAGGCAAUCAAGAGUUCUGCUGGCUGGUGAUUCUUCACCUCUUAGGAGAUCCCAGUAUUGAAAUGUUGUUAUAUAGAGCUGAUGUUUACAGUCAGUCGCAUGACUAAGGGGAUAACUUUGGGCUUUAAAACAACCUAGGCUGUUGUUCAACGUCACGUUCGUUCACCACUGACAUGAAUUACAUUCCACCUUGUGUUUUCCCCAUUCUGUUGUGUUUGUUUGGUUUUUUUCUCCUUGCAGGGUCAGCACGGUCAUCAGAAAUUUUCAAACUGUGAUUUCAUCUUAAGUUUAUCUGCUCAGAUUUGUACUGUGCCCACUGUAUUAAUUACUUUUUGAUGCUCUGGAGAUCAUCACAUCCUUAGUGCAAUAAAGUAAUAAAUGCAAACAAUAAUGGAGUAAUUUUAUAAGAUAUAAUUUAUAUAUAUAUAAAAUUAAUAUGCAUGCAGGUAAAAUAUGUUUGCACUGGAUUACAGCUGGGAUUUUGAUGUGAGGAUUUGGCUUUGUUUUUCCUUGAUCCAGAAAAAAAGAUGAAUAUGUUAAAGUGCAGUGGAGUAGAUGUUCAAAUGCCUUUUUUCUUCACUUAUUAACAAGCUUUUACAGCUGUGAUCUGUUUGUAGAUCCUACCAUGUUCCUAACAAGUUCAGUGGAAGUCUGCACUUAAUGUGAGUGGGAAUUUGACUAGACCCAAGUAAAUACAUAUUCAGUCCAGUCUUCUAUUCCAUAGCCAUAAGUAAGUUUUCUAAUUGCUGUGUAAUUGUUUUUUGACAAAAAGAACUACUUUUUAUAACCUUACUCCUGUUACUACAGAAAAUUAAAGCACUCUUAUCUACAGGUUUAGAAACAGUGGUAGACCAGGCUUUGUGCUCCAUUGUCAUUUCCAGCAUCACGCAUUGUCAUAAUCUGCGUAAUGCAGAAAAGAGCAAUAUAAAAAACAAUAAUCAGGUAAUGAUCCAUUCUACUCGGAUGAUACAAAACAUUCUCAUUUCUUCACUUCAUCUCUUAGAUUUUAAUGUAUAUGGUUAUGAUAUAACUGGCAUCUCCCCUGUGAGUAUACAUUUUCUCUUACUGUUUAAUGUGUGUCUGUCUUUAGUAAACUUCCAGAGCUUUCUGUUUCCUCCAGAUUCAGGUCAGUGUUUUCUUAAUGUGUUAGAACAAAGCUAUGAGGCAUUUUGGCAAAAUAUUAUGUCUACCUUAAAAUCGUGUGGCUGAAGGCCAGAAUUUGUGAAAGGGUCCAAAGCCAUCAUCUGCAAAUGCAGUUUUGUAAAUAUUUGCAAUUUAUUGCAUGUUCAGAAGAUGCACAUAUUUAGAUAUCUCAUUGGCUAUAAUUCUAAGUGCAGAAUUGCAGCUAUAGUAAUGAAGUUCCGGGUUGUUGGUUCAUUUGCGUUUUUGAAUCUGGUCACAAGUGUAUGAUUCAACAAAACGUCCUAAUCUUUCCUUUGGAAAUUAAAAGAAAACCUUGAUGAAAUAUACCUGCAGCCUGGAUUACUGUGCUUUUUGAUCUCCUGGUCUUUUCUGUUGUGUUUCAAAUGGUAACUUCAGGACAUUUGGGCAUAUGCAGACAUCAUCAGUGAGACAUUAACGAAAACAUAUUUGCAAAGAUGUGAUUUCAUACUUAUAGAGCCAUAGAAUCGUAGAAUGGCCUGGGUUGAAAAGGACCACAGUAAUCAUUAAGUUUCAACCCCCUGCUACGUGCAGGGUUGCCAAGCACCAGACCAGGCUGCCCAGAGCCACAUCCAGCCUGGCCUUGAAUGCCUCCAGGGAUGGGGGAUCCAUAUGCCUUCAUCUAACAGAAAUUCAAGACUUACGUGUUUGACAGGUUUGCUUAAAUGUAAGGCUUUCAGUGACUUUCCAUUUCAGAGCAGUUGGCUUCAAGCAUUAAACAGUGAGCAUUGCACGGAGUUAUUUUUAUUUAAAAAGACAAAAGCGUACUUGGAGAAACUACACAUUCCAGUAUUUCAUUAUUUUAUGAGUAUUUUAUUUUUAACUGUUGGUCUGAAUUACAUAUUCUACACAUCUGAGGAAGAACAGAAUGUCUCUUGCCAAAUUUGUAGGAUUCCGUUUCUCUAUUUCUGUUUUUGCUAACAUCAGGGCCCAAGAAUAUUUGUUAUCAUAGUAUAAACAGCUCGCUACUUGCCCUUCUGACAUAAUGGCAGCAGUUACUUUCUUGAUAAUGAACUGCUCUGAGUUGUCAACUGUUUGCCCUAGCAUAAUCCAAUGCAGACAGUUGCUUGACUUUCAAGGCAUCUGAUGUCAAAGAAAAUAGAUGGGUAUGUGUAAAGAGUCACGUACCCUGUGGUGUAUUCUUUGCAUAUUCCUUUUCAAUUUUACACUACUUAAAUCAGAAGUUUUGUUCCAAGAGUAGAAAAUCCCCUUGGCAGCACACAUACACUGGUAUGGUUGUGGGUAUGCUCGUUGUGCUGUCUUUUGGUGUUGCUUUGUGCCUCAACCUGACUGCUGCCUCCUUUUGUGUUUGGAUGGUUUGUUGUUUUUCCAUCUUUUGAUGAGCUUGCUCUUCUGCUUCUUAGGAGUUUGAAAGUGUCUGUUUAAAGUGGUUAUGUAUCUGUAGAAAAUAAUGAAGCUCUUCUGUGCUUGUAGUGAGAAAAUUUGUACCAAAAAUUUGGGUCUACAUUUUAUACUAGACAGAAGAGAGUGGAUUGGCUGCGAGCCUUCCCCUCUGUGAUCAUUUCUAAGCAUUUCUAAACUGAGGAUUAGUAGCAAAUUCCUUUGCCUUUCUGGCUUUGUUCAGGAAUGGUUUCAACGAGGGUAUUUUUAGGAAAGGUGAUUCAUUUUCUGUAUUGAAAUUAUGUGUUCAGUGCUACUGUAAAAUAGGCUGAAAUCUUUUCAAAGGUAGUGGGAGAUGAGUGAAGAUGAGUCAUGUGAAAUCCUUGGAGACAUGGGUUGGUUUUGCUGGUUUAUUUUCUCAGAAUGACGACUUUUGAGAGUUCUGUCAUCAGUGGCUUCCAGUGGUUGAAGGUAUCACUGUGGAGGGUAAGAGAGAAGAAAGCAUGGGAAACAUCCCACAUCACAGGGACAGUGGUGGAGUACAGGGUCUCAGACAACUGGGAUGUUGACCCAGUGUCGUUGUUAUGCAGAAAGUUGAAUUCAUUACCUGAAUUUCAUCCUUGGUAAGAUUUGAUUCUUCUCUAAGAAAAGUUAAAUAUAAUAAGGCGGUGAUUUAAAAGAUAAGCGAGGCAGAGUUGGUGAAAGCUGUUUGCAAAGUUUUGAAGAUAGUGGUUAGUGCUUAGACAAGCAAACUAAUUAAUGACACGCUAAGAUGUAGUUCUUCAGAAGUGGAUGGUACAGGUUUUCACUGAGAGGUUUGGAAAGCUCAUCAUAGCAACAUGCUUAAAUAGCUGCAGAAUUAUACAGUAUAAAUUGAACUUCUUCUUCUUCCUAGAAAAGGAAAGGCUGUCAUUUGUACAUCUUUCAAGAACUAAUGCAGAAUGAUGGAUCAUGUAAGAAGUAACGUCCUGAAUCUUCUGACUCGUAGUGCAUAGUCGUGCAGUUCUAGUUAUUUGUAGACCUUUAUAAGUAGUUUCCCUUGAGUGUACGUCUCGUAAAUACGGCAGAGGGAGGGAGGUUGUUUUUAUGCAAACUGGAUUACUACAGUGUAUUUAAAAGACACAGAUAAUGCAUUCUCUGUUAAAGGAGGAACACCUGUGUUGGAUCAGGUUGUGGGGUUUUUGUGGUUGUUUUUAAUAUGAAGUGAGGCAUGAACUCCUUUCAUGCUUUUAGUUAAAAUAUGUAUAUAAUUGAUUACAAAAAAAGAAAUCUGUUUCUGAUGUGAAAGAAUGACAUGAAAGAAUAGCUCUUAGGAUGCUGUAAGGUAUCAAAAAAUGGCAAAUUUAGAAUUUCUUUUUUUCUGAAGGAAACGUCCUUAAUUCUGUUCUUUACAGCAAAAUUGGCUUCAGUAGAAAAAUGUAGAAUAUUCUCAAACAUAAAUAACUAGCAAGGUAAGUUGUAUUAGUCCUGAGUUUUUGGAUUAAAUCCCUGUCCUUCAGCCUUGCAACGCUAAACUGUUGCUUGAUUCAGCAGAUAUUAAAUAUUAAUGCCUUUUAUCUAGAGAGGAAAACUAAUGAAAUAUUGGCAUGCUGUGUGCCACCAAAUCUGUGAAAUACGACUCUGGUGUGCUUAGGCACUUGAAAGAAGUCUAAAAGUAGACAGAAUAACUUUUUAUUCCACGUGUCAUUUGUAUUCUCAAUAAAUGAAAAAUAUUUUUUGAAAAUUAUCAGAGCCAGAGUAUCUUAGGCUUUUCUUAGAACUUUACCCUGAGACAUUAGAUUGGCAAAAUAUUUUUAGUAAAUUUAUACAAUUGAAGUAGAAAUCUAUUUUACCUUUUAUUUGAUAUCAUUAUUUCUACUUUCUUCUGUAGUUACUCCAGCUAGGUUUCAGUUUAGGAGUUUGCAUACUGAAAAUAUUGUCUUAAAAUGUCUUUAUGUAGUUCUCCAGACAAAAUACCUUCUUCCAGAGGAAUAGAAGGCAAGAACCUUCUCUGAGAGUUUGCAAGCUUGCAGUAUCUCAGUCACAGAAGGGUGAGCAUAAAUGAACUGCAGAAUCAGUUUCUUGAUUUAAGUGAUCAAUUUAGUGAAAGUUUGGAAUCUGAGUGAUUAAUGAGACAAAUGAGUGCAUGAUAGGAGCAUUCCUUUGUGCUGACAGGACAAAUAGCUCCAUCAAAGAGGAGCAUGGUAACGGAAGGUUGGUAAUUUAAGUCCAAAUCCAAAAGCUCAACCUAAUCAAUGUAUGUGUUAACCCAGCACAUUUAGGAAGUUUAGCCCCAGAACAGUGCUGCAUCUUCCAUGUAGAUAAAUGAAUUUUGUCUGUCUAUUGCAGACCUACUUAGCCAAACUCUUAUAAAAUUAACCUCUCUGACAUUGUUUUUUUGGUCUGUAUGUGCAGAAAGUAUUUGCUUGCUAUUUUAGGCUAUCAUCGUAGAAUCACAAAAUGAUUUUGGUAGAAGGGGCCUUAAAGACCAUCUGGUCCCAACACCCUGCCAUGGGCAAUGCCACCCAGCAGCUGAAGCUGCCCAGGGCCCCAUCCAACCUGGCCUUGAGCACCUCCAGGGAUGGAGCACACACAGCUUCUCUGGGCAGCUAUGCCACUGCCUUGCUGCCCUUAUCAUGAAAAAAUUCUUCCUUAUAUCCAAUCUAAAUCUACCCACCUUCAGUUUUAAAGCCAUUACUCCUUGUUUCAUCUCUACAUACCCUUGUAAAAAGUUGUUCCUCAUCUUUCCUGUACACCCCCAUUAGCUACUGGAAGGCCACUAUGAGGUCUCCCCAGAGCCUUCUCUUCCCCAAGCUGAGCAAGCCCAACUUCCUUACCCUACCUGCAUAGGAGAGGUGCUCCAACCCUCUGAUUAUCUUUGUGUGCUUCCUCUGGACCUGCUCCAACAGCUCCAUGUCCUUCUUAUGUUGAGGGCCCUGGAGCUCAUUGGAGUACUGCAGGCAGAUCCUCACGAGAGAAGAGGCCAACCCCUCAGCCUGCUUGCCAUGCUUCUUUUGAUGUGCCCUGAGAUACAAUGAACCUUAACCCAUGAACUUUUUUAAGGGAGAAAAAAAAAAAAAAAGAAAAAUCCAACAACCAAAAAAAGAUGGAUUUUGAACAUUAAAAAAACCCAAAACCUGGAACAUACAGAAAACAUUUUAAAAGUGAGCAUAAAAUACAAAUAAAUUAGUUAUUAGUAGCAGAUGCCAUAGUUGUGGGGAAAAAAAUGGCUCUUUUCAGAUACUGUAGUUAAUAAAUUUUGCAGUUUUGUCUAUUAAGUAGGCUGUCUGUCUUAAGCUGUCCAACAUCCAAGAGUUGGAACAGAUCUGUCUCAAACUAAACACGGAUGCAGUUUGGAUAGGGCUCAAAUGAAACCAUUCUUGAUGAAGGUUUUAUUAGCAAUUACUGUGAAAUUUUUCCUCUUAGAGGAAGAAAAACCUUUGUUGAUGGAUCUCCCUUUGGGAUUUUGUUAUGGUCACAGUUUAGGGCAAAGUGGUUUCAGUUCAGUAUGUGUGAGAUGAAGAACUGCUGUGAAAUGGAGUUGGGCUGAUAUUGUGGUAGAGGGUGAUCAGCGUUCCUCACCAUCAGUUGGGUGCCUCACACGUCAUCAUAGUUACUGUGUUGUGUCUUGGAAUGGAAGUGAAAAGUGAGUUGGUAAUAUUUUCAGAUUCUCUUUUGAAUGGGUUGCAGUGAAAUUGACAAAAGGUUAAGAAAGCCAAGUGUUGGUUGUGCAUGAAGGAGAUCAUGAGAAGAGAUGUUGAAGAGAUGAGCGAUGUCUACAUUGGUGAUAUCUGUAGAGUGUGCAUGUAAGGAAAUGGAACAGAUGAUCAUGGAUUAUAUGGAGAUAAAAUAAGAGACUCUAGCUGACAUCUUUCAGAAGUCAGAAUACUCAGUAGAAGACAGGCAAGCAAUCACAAUGUGAUCUCAGAUGGAUCCAUAAUUUUAGGAACUAGAAGUUUAUUAACAGCUGAAAGAUUAGGUACUGAGAAUAUCAAAAUAACCCUACAUUUGUAAAAACAAAAAAGCAGUAUAUGACUGCUGAUGGUCAUGUGUUGAUGCUAGAGAAAGAACAGAGUAGAUUGCAUACGUGUUGGUUUUUCAAAAUUAAAGUGGCCUAACACGCAGCUCAGGGAGGGGCUUCAUGAGGCAGAUGCUGUAUCCACAUGUUUGUGUUUAAUACUAUUUUAUUUUUCUCUGUGUUUUUGUCAUCCCAUUUACACUUUUGGCUUCCAUGUUGUGACAGUGAGUCUCACAGUUGUAGUUAUGGUUUGUGGUGUAGUCAUUUAUUACGAACCUGGUGCCUGAUUUCACAGUCUCAUAUAUUUCAUUAACAUGAACACCCAGUUACGUUAGAAACCUUACGAUGGAGCCAGUCAUGACAAAGCUGCCUCUCCACGCAAGCCUUUCUGCAGUUAUUCACUGUGGGAUUUCCUUUUACCUGUAGGAGAAAAGUAUUUAUUAUUUGACUGCCUGCUGAUAGAAUAGCCUGUGUGGACAGCUAGUAGGUUUUAUCCUGGUCACAACUGCUGUGUCCUGAUGGUAAAUGAAGUUGAUUCCUGGACAUUUCAAAAUAAACAUCUGAUUACUCGGAACGAAAUGCUCCAUCUGUUGCACGCACACCAUUACACGCCCUUUGCUGUAAAUGCUAAUGGAUGACUUCAAGGUGCACGUCCUGGGACCAAGACCUACCCUCCUAGAGCUCAACAGCAAAACUUUUUUGGACUGAUAAAAUCCUGCCUUCCAUCCCCAAAUAAUGGCCAGAUGCUUUGUUAUCUCACUUCAUAGGCAAAAGCUCAGCGUGUACCUGGCAGCUUUCACUCUCAGUUAAGAUGUUGACGUACAUGUAAUGACCACCAAACACGCUGCUUUCCUGGUAGGCCCAGAACACGAACAGAUUUCACGCUAGUUUAUAGAUCUAAUGAGAGCCAAAUUGAGAGACUUUGUCAAAACCUGGGAAGUUCUUUUGAACUGCAGACAGAAAAAGGUUCCUGCUUGUUGGGUGUUGGUGUGAAGUGAGGGUUUGCAAUGAGUGCUGAGUAACCUGAUCUUUAUCCUUUGUUUGUCUUUUUCUAGGAGAAGCUCUGCCUACCACAUCACAUCCUAGAAGAAAAGGGCUUGGUAAAAGUGAGCAUAACAGUUCAAGCAUUGCUAGAUGUAACCACAGUGAAACAAGCUUUAUUCACGUGAAAC